RNAcentral lists this ribosomal RNA (253 nucleotides) under uncultured bacterium. Its description in RNAcentral is "partial 16S ribosomal RNA". It matches the Rfam family "Bacterial small subunit ribosomal RNA", at positions 524 to 776 of the family's 1533-position model. The record is from RNAcentral.
UACAGAGGGGGCAAGCGUUGUUCGGAAUUACUGGGCGUAAAGGGCGCGUAGGCGGCCUGCUAAGUCGAACGUGAAAUCCCCAGGCUCAACCUGGGAACUGCGUCUGAUACUGGAUGGCUUGAAUCCGGGAGAGGGAUGCAGAAUUCCAGGUGUAGCGGUGAAAUGCGUAGAUAUCUGGAGGAAUACCGGUGGCGAAGGCGGCAUCCUGGACCAUAACUGACGCUGAGGCGCGAAAGCUAGGGGAGCAAACGGG